AAGGGGAAGGGGAGGACGGGGGAGGCUGAGCCCACCCACGGCCUAGACGGAGAGUCCAGGGGGCAGAGGGCAGCUCACCUCCUUUCAGGCACAGAUGACGAAAGUAAGCAGCAAGCCAAGAAGCUUGGCCACAGGGAUCCUGGAAGCGCGAGAGAAGCUGCGUCAGCCCGCCGGCGCUUCUGCCUGGGCCGUCCCGCCGCUGGCCCAGCCGGGUGUCACAGCCCUCUCCAGGAGUGAGACCCCCACCCUUCCCCAGAAUGCAACACGGCCACUAAACCUGCAGGAACCGGAGCCACAGCAGGCUCACGCAGACCCUGAUUCCAUCCCUGGGGAUUCACGCGUCAUCCCUGCUUUACAACUUGCUCAUUUACAAACAUGGUGAAACUAUAAAAACUCCUGAGAACCAUGGAGUUCAGGAUUGUGGCCACUUCUGGGGAGGGGGUGGGUGGGGAGAGGCACCCGGUUCUGUCCGUAAUAUUUUAUUUCUCGAUGGAAAACAUAUCUGAAGCACAAAGGUCAAGGAGCUAAUGUUAGUUGAAGCUGGAUGGCGGGUACACGGUGCCCACGUGUCCGUCUCUUCUCGAUGGUUGUCGUGGGCUGAACUGUGUCCCCCAAAUUCAUACAUAGGGGUUCUGACCCCCAGCACCCCAGAUUGUGACUAUUUGGAGAUGAGUUCUUUAAAAAGGUGGAAAGUAAAAUGAGGUCACGAGGGUGGGCCCUGCCCCAGUGUGACUGGUGUCCUUAUAAGAGGAGGAGGUCAGGACACAGACACACACAGAGGGACGACCCCGUGAGGACACAGUGAGGAGACGGCCAUCUACACGCCGAGGAGAGAGGCCUCAGGAGGACCCAGCCCUGCCCACACCUGGAUCUGGGAUUCCAGCCUCAGGACUGAAGACAAAAAACAACGAACAAUGUUGCUCCAGUCACCCCAGGAAACACACCCUGAUCAACCCUGCGGCUACACGGAGGGAGGACCCAGGUGGACAGGAUGGGCGCUCAGAGAGGACAUAGGGCUUUCAGGCCAUCACCUGUUGGCGUUCCCCCUGAGAGUCCACCCCCUGCCAAGCUCGGGGAGUGACAGGGGAGGUGUCAUUGGCUCAGUGAUCCCGGCCGAGGGUGAAGCAGCUUCCUCUAGGGGACAAUCUUGGUGUGUGUGGGGGGUUGACUAUCACUUCAUUUAACAGACGGCAAAACCUGCCAUGGUGGGCCAGCAACCCUGGGGGUCACGCAGCUGGGGUAGGCAGCACCUCACCACGCUGAUCCCCAGGAGACCCUGGUUGGGCUGGGCGAGGGAGGGGGCCCUGGGGACAAGGCCAGGGCCUCCCCAGCUCCCCUCUCGGCCCGGUCAUGCCACAGAAAACGCCUGCUCUGUCCUGGCUGGAAGUGCUUCCGAGCCCU
Molecule: long non-coding RNA, 1401 nt
Organism: Aethalodelphis obliquidens (Pacific white-sided dolphin)
Lineage: Eukaryota; Metazoa; Chordata; Mammalia; Artiodactyla; Delphinidae
Exons: 2
Source: RefSeq, a predicted model, not a curated record